RNAcentral lists this ribosomal RNA (409 nucleotides) under bacterium. RNAcentral's name for it is "partial 16S ribosomal RNA". It matches the Rfam family "Bacterial small subunit ribosomal RNA", at positions 355 to 776 of the family's 1533-position model. The record is from RNAcentral.
UGGGGAAUAUUGCACAAUGGGCGAAAGCCUGAUGCAGCGACGCCGCGUGAGGGAUGACGGCCUUCGGGUUGUAAAACUCUUUCAGCAGGGACGAAGCGCAAGUGACGGUACCUGCAGAAGAAGCACCGGCUAACUACGUGCCAGCAGCCGAGGUAAUACGUAGGGUGCAAGCGUUGUCCGGAAUUACUGGGCGUAAAGAGUUCGUAGGCGGUUUGUCGCGUGGUUUGUGAAAACCAGCAGCUCAACUGCUGGCUUGCAGGCGAUUCGGGCAGAGUUGAGUACAGCAGAGGAGACUGGAAUUCCUGGUGUAGCGGUGAGAUGCGCAGAUAUCAGGAGGAACACCGGUAGCGAAGGCGGGUCUCUGGGCAGUAACUGACACUGAGAAACGAAAGCGUGGGUAGCGAACAGG